UACGUAGGUGGCAAGCGUUGUUCGGAUUUAUUGGGCGUAAAGGGCAUGUAGGCGGUUAGAAAAGUGUGAAUUGAAAGGCGCAGGCUCAACCUGCUGUUUGGUUUGCAAACUCUCUAACUAGAGUACAGAAGGGGAAACUGGAAUUCCGCGUGUAGGGGUGAAAUCUGUAGAUAUGCGGAAGAAUACUUGUGGCGAAGGCGAGUUUCUGGUCUGUAACUGACGCUGAAAUGCGAAAGUGUGGGGAG
This 245-nucleotide ribosomal RNA is filed under the name uncultured bacterium. RNAcentral describes it as "partial 16S ribosomal RNA". It matches the Rfam family "Bacterial small subunit ribosomal RNA", at positions 524 to 768 of the family's 1533-position model. The record is from RNAcentral.